CCCGCUGAGGUUGAGAGCCCNUAGGACUUGACGUCGAGCCUGUGCUAAGCUCCCUCGAUAGUCGUAGUAGUUUGGGAAUGCUGCUCUAAAUGGGAGGUACACCCCUUCUAAAGCUAAAUACCCGCCAGAGACCGAUAGCGCACAAGUAGAGUGAUCGAAAGAUGAAAAGCACUUUGAAAAGAGAGUUAAACAGCACGUGAAAUUGUUGAAAGGGAAGCGCUUGUGGCCAGACUCGGGCCCGGCGGCUCAGCCGUCCCUCGCGGGCGGCGCACUCUGCGGGUCCGGGCCAGCAUCAGCUUGCGGCGGGGGAGAAAGGCGGCGGGAACGUGGCUCUUCGGAGUGUUAUAGCCCGCCGCCAUGCCCCGCCGCGGGCUGAGGUCGCGGUCAAGGAUGCUGGCGUAAUGGCCACCANCGACCCGUCUUGAAACACGGCCAAGGGGUCGCCUACAUGCCAGUGUUCGGGUGCAAAGCCCUACCCGGAAUGAAAGUGAACGCAGUGGGAGCUUUUGCGCACCACCGACCGAUCUGAAGUCUCGGAUGGAUUUGAGUAAAAGCAUGCUUGGCCGGACCCGAAAGAAGGGGAACUUUCUUNGGUANGGGCAAAGCCCNAGGAAACUUUGGGGGAGGNUUCNAANGGGUCUGAACGGCAAAUGGAUNGUNAAAACUUGACUGGG
Molecule: ribosomal RNA, 674 nt
Filed under: Corollospora sp. 6266
Lineage: Eukaryota; Fungi; Ascomycota; Sordariomycetes; Microascales; Halosphaeriaceae
Description: eukaryotic LSU rRNA
Rfam family: Eukaryotic large subunit ribosomal RNA
Source: RNAcentral